GAUUUUUAUAGGUGAGGAAAGUGCUAGUGGCUUUUGUGUCGAGGAGGAGUAGAAUCGGUGGGGUAUACCGAGUGCCAGGCAAGAGAGUGCAUCCGCAAGAAAUCCAUGCUUGUGCUGAAAGGGUGUCCAAGUGGGUCUAGUGAACUCUUCUCUAUUCACAAGGUAUAUUGUUUCUAUGGGGAACAUUUCCUUUAUUAUCAUAGAAGAUAUUAAUGUGACAG
This 221-nucleotide unclassified non-coding RNA is filed under the name Schistocerca americana (American grasshopper). RNAcentral's name for it is "zinc finger protein 594-like, transcript variant X2". Lineage: Eukaryota; Metazoa; Arthropoda; Insecta; Orthoptera; Acrididae. The record is from RNAcentral.